UUGGGUGAAUUCCAAAUUGGAUGUCCAAAGUAGAUCAAAGAAAAUGAAAGUCCUCUCUCUCUCUCUCUCGUCACAGACCAACCAUCGCUUCUUUUGCAGCUCCUUCUCCUCCACAUCUUCCUUCUCCGCCUCCUCCCAUCCUUCCUCCUCUGCCUCCACCUGUACUUCCAUCGUUGACACCUCGUCUCUUCUCUUACUCAUCUUCCUCCUCUGCUUCUUCCCACCAUUGAACAUCUACUCUCAUUUACGCAUGCUAAGAGCGAAAUUAUAGGGUUGCUUUCUGUAAAUUGGCUCAAAUCUAGUGAAUCCAAUAGCUGUAGCUAAAGAUGACCGCCGGAGAUGGCCUUCUCAGCACGACAUGUUGUGGGCAUCCCUUGUACAUGGAUUCUCCAUUAUUGGCCUUAUUGAUUUGAGGAACGUGGUGGCCUCGAUCUCCUGCGACAAAGCUGUUUGGGACGCCAUCUUGAACAACAGGGCAGUUCAGGAUCUCCGGGGCUCAAUCUCUGCAGAAAUCUAGUUCCAUUUCAUAUAUCAACUGCGACAAUAAAAGGUAAAAGUAAACAAGAGGAGGCAGCCAUGAGUUUUACCAGGAUAAAAGCCUUGAUGUUCUCUCUUGUCAAUCUUAUGUCUGAGCUUUCAUCUUCAGAUAUAUCGAGCAAUAUAUCAAGUAGAUCCUUCAUUUGUUGACUUGCAUCAUUGUUAUGCUGACGCUUCGUCCUUGUCUCUUGAUGUUCCUCUAUGAUCUUCUCAAUCAUUACAUCAAACCUCUCAGCAAUAUACCUAUGUUGUAUCUGCUGCUUCAUUGAAGUACUUUCUCUUGACCUCUGAUCUGCAGAGUUAUGCCUGAACAUAUACAAUUCGUAGCUAUCAACUCUCCUUACGGCUCAAUGCGCAGCUACCUAAGUGAAGAAUUGAUAUGAACAAACAAAGGGGUAUUUGGAGAUAUGUGUUUUGGCUGGAAUUUUUUUUGUUUUUAAGUUUCUAUUUAUUUACUGAAGAACAUAAAACAGAGACAGAAACAAGACGAGGCGGUUGGAGUAGGGGUGGAAACGGGAGAAGCAGAAAUUGGUUUAUACAGUUGGCCUCUUGAGUUAGGAUUUAUUUGUAACUGAUAGUUUUUAGCUUUUUGGUUUAUGCAGUUGAAGCAUUUGAUCAAGUGUUUUUGUUACAUAUGUAGGGUUUAUUUGUAACUGAUUGUUUUCUUACCUUUUUUUCAUGAAAUAUUGCUUCUUGAUUUUGUAGUUAUUGUCACAUGAGUGAAAAAUUGCUUCAACUUUUCCUCUCUCAUAUUUUUAUCAUGCCAUUGGUACUUAAUAGAGGAGUUUGAGUUUUAGUUGUGCA
Coffea arabica (coffee) is the source of this 1341-nucleotide non-coding RNA. The record is from RefSeq and is a predicted model, not a curated record. NCBI's taxonomy places the organism in Eukaryota, Viridiplantae, Streptophyta, Magnoliopsida, Gentianales, Rubiaceae.